GAUGAACGCUGGCGGCGUGCCUAAUACAUGCAAGUCGAGCGAACAGACGAGGAGCUUGCUCCUUUGACGUUAGCGGCGGACGGGUGAGUAACACGUGGAUAACCUACCUAUAAGACUGGGAUAACUUCGGGAAACCGGAGCUAAUACCGGAUAACAUGUUGAACCGCAUGGUUCAACAGUGAAAGACGGUCUUGCUGUCACUUAUAGAUGGAUCCGCGCCGCAUUAGCUAGUUGGUAAGGUAACGGCUUACCAAGGCAACGAUGCGUAGCCGACCUGAGAGGGUGAUCGGCCACACUGGAACUGAGACACGGUCCAGACUCCUACGGGAGGCAGCAGUAGGGAAUCUUCCGCAAUGGGCGAAAGCCUGACGGAGCAACGCCGCGUGAGUGAAGAAGGUCUUCGGAUCGUAAAACUCUGUUAUUAGGGAAGAACAAAUGUGUAAGUAACUAUGCACGUCUUGACGGUACCUAAUCAGAAAGCCACGGCUAACUACGCG
This 497-nucleotide ribosomal RNA is filed under the name uncultured bacterium. RNAcentral's name for it is "partial 16S ribosomal RNA". It matches the Rfam family "Bacterial small subunit ribosomal RNA", at positions 28 to 507 of the family's 1533-position model. The record is from RNAcentral.